UAAUUCUUUCGGGGCAGGGUGAAAUUCCCAACCGGCGGUUAAAGCCCGCGACCUGUACGCGAUUUUAUCGCGUACGGCUGAUUCAGUGCAAAUCUGAAGCCGACAGUCAGAGUCUGGAUGGGAGAGAGAAUGA
This 133-nucleotide non-coding RNA is filed under the name Lacicoccus alkaliphilus. Its description in RNAcentral is "Salinicoccus alkaliphilus FMN sequence". It matches the Rfam family "FMN riboswitch aptamer (RFN element)". From Rfam's summary of the family: The RFN element is a highly conserved domain that is found frequently in the 5'-untranslated regions of prokaryotic mRNAs that encode for flavin mononucleotide (FMN) biosynthesis and transport proteins. This element is a metabolite-dependent riboswitch that directly binds FMN in the absence of proteins. Lineage: Bacteria; Bacillati; Bacillota; Bacilli; Caryophanales; Salinicoccaceae. RNAcentral also lists the same sequence under 1 other name. The record is from RNAcentral.